Long non-coding RNA from Mastomys coucha (southern multimammate mouse), 471 nucleotides. RefSeq lists it as uncharacterized. NCBI's taxonomy places the organism in Eukaryota, Metazoa, Chordata, Mammalia, Rodentia, Muridae. The record is from RefSeq and is a predicted model, not a curated record. The transcript has 2 exons.
GCGGGCGCGAGGCCGAGAGCGGAGCGCGCAGCCCCGCCAAGCGUCUGCUGAACGGCGACCGCCUCCUCUUCCCCGCCUCUUCCUUCUCCUGCGCCUCGGCGGCCGCGGGAGCCGCUCUUCAGGGAGGAAGCGGCCUCCGGGGCUUGUUGCUUUGUGCUGCAACCAUGGUGAGGAGUGAGUGACGGGCCGGGGGCCAGUCGGAGGCCGCCGCAUCAUCGGAGGCGGAGCGCCCCGUGGCGCCGGCCCGCCCCAUCGCUGGCCUGGCGGGGCCGCGCCCUCGCUGCAAGCCGCGUUCUGCCGGGACCAGCAACUGCUUCCUACUUUAUCUGACAUCCUAGAGCACCAACUUGACUUCUCCAGGAUAAACCUCCACUUCAAAAGCAAAAGUAACAGAAAAAAAAAGAGAGAGAGAGAGAGAGAAUUUAAACCAAAUAAAUGUGCAAAAAAAGGAUAUACCCGACAUCCUCCCAA